Molecule: long non-coding RNA, 507 nt
Organism: Zophobas morio
Lineage: Eukaryota; Metazoa; Arthropoda; Insecta; Coleoptera; Tenebrionidae
Exons: 3
Source: RefSeq, a predicted model, not a curated record
AGUUUUUGUGUUUGAAUGGUUAAUGUAAUGCCAUGCGGUAUCAAUGUGACCAAACAUUUCUGUUAAAAAUUAAGUAAUGGGGCUAUAAUUUGCACUUAUUUAUAGGGUCUAUAUAGACUUCCUAUGUAUCAGGUAGAAUCAUGUUCCCCCUUCCCUCCUCGUUUCUAAACACUACAGCCAGCUUGACGACGUACGCGAGCAAGAGUCCUAAGUAACGUUUUGUUAAAUGCCUCCUAAACUGUUAGCUGCAAAAGCUACCUUCAAAUUUGUGCUAUCAAAGAUUUUUACAUAUAUAUAGACAUUAAACAUUUAGGUUAUUUGCAUAGGUUGUUAUAUAUCUUCCUGUGGAGAACUUGAGGUAGGUAAUAAUCUUUUAAAUAAAUUAACUUUACCAAAAAAUUUAGAAGGUCAGGUGAAGAAGCGCUUGUCUUCCCUGUUAAUGUUUUUACUUAUAUCAUAUUUGUUUCAUAUGGCGUUAUAGAACUGGCAGAAUUUUCUUUGCAUUUA